Molecule: ribosomal RNA, 468 nt
Filed under: uncultured bacterium
Lineage: Bacteria
Description: partial 16S ribosomal RNA
Rfam family: Bacterial small subunit ribosomal RNA
Source: RNAcentral
GACGAACGCUGGCGGCGUGCUUAACACAUGCAAGUCGAACGGAAAGGCCCUGCUUUUGUGGGGUGCUCGAGUGGCGAACGGGUGAGUAACACGUGAGUAACCUGCCCUUGACUUUGGGAUAACCUCAGGAAACUGGGGCUAAUACCGGAUAGGAGCUCCUGCUGCAUGGUGGGGGUUGGAAAGUUUCGGCGGUUGGGGAUGGACUCGCGGCUUAUCAGCUUGUUGGUGGGGUAGUGGCUUACCAAGGCUUUGACGGGUAGCCGGCCUGAGAGGGUGACCGGCCACAUUGGGACUGAGAUACGGCCCAGACUCCUACGGGAGGCAGCAGUGGGGAAUAUUGCACAAUGGGCGGAAGCCUGAUGCAGCAACGCCGCGUGCGGGAUGACGGCCUUCGGGUUGUAAACCGCUUUCGCCUGUGACGAGGCGUGAGUGACGGUAAUGGGUAAAGAAGCACCGGCUAACUACGUG